ACGUCCGACCAUUAAAAAAUAAUCAUCGGCUACACAUGUAGAAGCUCGCGGGGACAGCGAUUAGGACAGGGGUUCAACUCCCCUCGCCUCCAA
Molecule: transfer-messenger RNA, 93 nt
Filed under: Verrucomicrobiota bacterium
Lineage: Bacteria; Pseudomonadati; Verrucomicrobiota
Description: partial transfer-messenger RNA
Rfam family: transfer-messenger RNA
About the family: Bacterial tmRNA, also known as 10Sa RNA or SsrA, is named for its dual tRNA and mRNA-like properties. Its role is to liberate the mRNA from a stalled ribosome.
Source: RNAcentral